CUUUUAUUUGAUAAAGAUGAAUGAUAGACAAAUACAAGAACCUUAGGACCCUUGUUGGAUCUGAUGAAGGUCUGGGAUCAUAGAUCCUCCUAUCUCUUUAGAGAGAUGUGUUUACAUAUAUUCUAGAGAGAGGGAAAAGGAAAGAGCCCGAGAGCCCCCUUGGGAAGUCCUCCCUUCCUAUUUAUAAGGGGUAUUCCUAGAAAAACCCUAAAAGAAAAGGUACAAUUAGAGGGAGUAUUCAGUAGAAUAUUCCUUUUGAGGAUUCCACAGCAGACUAGUUUCAUCACUGCCCGACCUCGGCUUGUCCAACCUUGGCCUGUCCUACCUCGGCCUUAUUGAUGAUUGUCCGACCUCGGCUUGUCCGGCCUUGGCUUUAUUGAUGAUUGUCCGACCUCGGCCUUACGUCUCCGCUUGCCGAAUUUCUCUGAUCUAAUUUUGACCCAUUCACUAUGUAAAAUGGAAGAGAUGGAAUAUUGCAUUUUUUUUUUUGGCAACUAAAGUUUGUGCUUUAUUUUCACUGUUCCUUGAGCCGAGGGUCUGCCGGAAACAGCCUCUCUGUCUUUACAAGUUGAGGGUAAGGUCUGCGUAGUGUUUGUGGGAUUACACUGGAUUUGUUGUAGUUGUUGGUAACUAAAAUUUGUAUUAAUCACCAAGUGAGCUUUUUACAAGGGAUGAUGAAUAUUACAUUCACUAUUCUUUUUGUAGAGACUAAGUGUGGAUUUUGGUAUUAAUUUAACUAUACUUAUAAAUGUUGUUGGAGGAUAUCUUGGAAGGACAAUAAGCAAAUUCAACUUGAACAGCAUCCACGGAAUUGGUCCUUUCCUUUUUGGAGGAUGUUGGGACUUGAGACUUUAUUGAAUAAAUUGUUCUUCUCAGCAUUUCCCUUGAUCAUGAUGUUGCUUCCAAUAGAAUGCAGCACGGCUCCUAUCGUUCCUCUGUGAUUAUGGUGAAUUCAAGCAAUUUUCUGCUUACCACUAAAUAGGAACAGUUUAAGGUUCAACUUGUAUUGGAGAUGCCCCUAUGUGUGCAGAUGAAAAAAGACCCUUCUAGCUCUAAAAUUUGUACUACGAUGGGUUAUUAGUACCCUCAAAAUUGAUAUAAUCAAUACGGUUAUACUUGGUGCGGACACUAUCCUGGCUGGACUUCGUUUCAGAAUUAUCCAAUUGCAUAGUUUGUAGUCUUCAGUGCUGGUGUAGAGUUGCUUUUACUUGAUAUAUUCUUAUUGAAGUAUACAUCAGGAGUGCAAGAGCAAGGUGGAAAAUGUAAACAGGAAGUCUUAUAGAGCAUCGAGUUAGUUCCACUUAAGGCUUAAGGAAGUAACUUUGACCACAAUCUGAUCUUCCUGUACUUAUUCAUUCCUGAAUUUUGAUCUGGUGUCUACUCAUAAGUUCUUAUUCCGUCAUUUAUCAGCUUAAUCAAUAGUUUCAUUGACUGCUCUACAGUUCUUCGUUAGGUCUUGUUUCUCUUUGUGAUUUGAUAUUCUAUUUCUAACACGUGUUUUAUAUAAGAUACUUUUGGGAACAUGCAGUAAAUGAUUUCAACUUUUACACAAGUUGAAAAAUCGUCUAAUAAAGCAGUUCUUGUCAUUCUA
This is a non-coding RNA of Nicotiana tabacum (common tobacco), 1591 nucleotides long. Lineage: Eukaryota; Viridiplantae; Streptophyta; Magnoliopsida; Solanales; Solanaceae. The record is from RefSeq and is a predicted model, not a curated record.